Molecule: ribosomal RNA, 496 nt
Filed under: uncultured bacterium
Lineage: Bacteria
Description: partial 16S ribosomal RNA
Rfam family: Bacterial small subunit ribosomal RNA
Source: RNAcentral
AUGCACGCUGGCGGCGUGCCUCAUCCAUGCCAGUCGCGCGAACAGACGAGGAGCUUGCUCCUCUGACGUUAGCGGCGGACGGGGGAGUAACACGUGGAUAACCUACCUAUAAGACUGGGAUAACUUCGGGAAACCGGAGCUAAUACCGGAUAACAUGUUGCACCGCAUGGUUCAACAGUGAAAGACGGUCUUGCUGUCACUUAUAGAUGGAUCCGCGCCGCAUUAGCUAGUUGGUAAGGUAACGGCUUACCAAGGCAACGAUGCGUAGCCGACCUGAGAGGGGGGUCGGCCACACUGGAACUGAGACACGGUCCAGAGGCCUACGGGAGGCAGCAGUAGGGAAUCUUCCGCAAUGGGCGAAAGCCUGACGGAGCAACGCCGCGUGGGUGAAGAAGGUCUUCGGAUCGUAAAACUCUGUUAUUGGGGAAGAACAAAUGUGUAAGUAACUAUGCACGUCUUGACGGUACCUAAUCAGAAAGCCACGGCUAACUACGUG